GUGGAUUAGAUACCCGGGUAGUCCAUGCCGUAAACGUUGGGCACUAGGUGUGGGGCUCAUUCCACGAGUUCUGUGCCGCAGCAAACGCAUUAAGUGCCCCGCCUGGGGAGUACGGCCGCAAGGCUAAAACUCAAAGGAAUUGACGGGGGCCCGCACAAGCGGCGGAGCAUGCGGAUUAAUUCGAUGCAACGCGAAGAACCUUACCAAGGCUUGACAUAUACCGAAAACUCAUGGAGACAUGGGGUCCGCAAGGGCGGUAUACAGGUGGUGCACGGCCGUCGCCAGCU
Molecule: ribosomal RNA, 287 nt
Filed under: uncultured bacterium
Lineage: Bacteria
Description: partial 16S ribosomal RNA
Rfam family: Bacterial small subunit ribosomal RNA
Source: RNAcentral